Triticum dicoccoides is the source of this 2067-nucleotide RNA transcript. RefSeq lists it as uncharacterized. The transcript has 4 exons. NCBI's taxonomy places the organism in Eukaryota, Viridiplantae, Streptophyta, Magnoliopsida, Poales, Poaceae. The record is from RefSeq and is a predicted model, not a curated record.
GCCCAUAACAUGCUCCACGAAGUUCUUCUCCCCAGACUCGACCAAACAGAAAACGCCGCCGCCGCGGCCAACUUCCCUCCCGCCGCCGCACCCAGGCUCCCACGCGACGCCUCCUACCUCUGCGCACGGCCGCCCACCUCCCGCGCGUCGCCGCCUGCCUCCACGCGCUGCCGUCCCACAUCCCGCACGCCGCCGUCCCACAUCCCGCGCGCCACCGUCCCACAUCCGCGCAUCGCCACCUCUCCUCCGUUGGCCGAUGCCUGCCUCCGCGCACCGCCACUUCCUCUCUAGCGCUCUGCUAGCCUCCCACUGCCUCCUUCCACUACGGCAGCGGCUUCCCUCCCCUGCGCGCUGCUGGCAAACCACCGGCAGCAGGCUCCUCCGCCGGCCGUCGACCUUACCAGCGCCGCUGCCCAACCACCGCUCUCUGUCGACCAGGCUUCUGCGCGCGCCCUCCUCUCCCAGGCCCCCUCCCAUAGGUAUUGGAGCCUCCCUUCCCUGAUCUCGACCCUGAUUUUUCUCUCCCUCCCUCUCCCUAAUCUCUCUCUCUACACUAAUCUCUUUCUCUUCUCCUUAGUCCCUAGCCCAUCGCUGAAUGCAUACGCUGCACCACAGGUUCCUACUCCACCGUGCCUCGUCUCUUCUUCUUCACUCUUCACUUCUCUAGUGUGUGCACACAAAUUUUUCGCUAAAAUGUCUAUGUGCACUAGUACCGGUGUAUGUACAUUCUAGGUCUUGGUACUGUAAUAUGGCAAUACACCUUUGAUGUAUUUGUCAUGCUUUCUAUAUCGCAUUGAAACUGGCUGCAGUUCAGUUCCGGAUGAACUUCUUGUUGAAAGGGUGGUUGGCAGACGGCUGCAUCCUGAAACGGGGAAAAUAUACCAUCUAAAGUAUUCUCCGCCUGAGAAUGAAGAAAUUGCAUCCAGGCUUACACAAAGAUUUGAUGAUACAGAAGAAAAGGUUAAGCUGAGGUCGCAGACGCAUUAUCAAAAUAUCAAGUCCUUGGUUUCGAUAUAUGAAGAUGUUAUAGUCAAGGUAAAAAGGAAAUACCACGGUGGAAGAUGUGUUAUGUGAGAUCGACAAGCUGCUCACUUCCAGGCUUGAUAAGAAAAUAGAAAUGGUGGCUAGCUAACUCAUAAGCAGAGAAAGCUGUGCGAACCACACAUUUGGUUGAAGCAUGGUUUUAUUUUAUUUUUUCAAGACAUGCAGGUGACAAAGCAUUGGUAGGAUGAUAUUUAGAAAGCCCUUUGUUAUUCAUGGAUGUAAAUGCGUCACUGUUUUGUAAUGAUCUUUACUAGGACUACAUUGAUAUAACAUGCAAUUGGAAGGAUUGCCUUGAGUUUGUACUUUACAAAAAUAGUACCAGUUUAGUGCAUUCGUUUUCCCUUCUAGCUUAGUCCUUGCCUGCUAACUGAUAUAGCUUGGAUUACUGAGAGUAUUUUCCCUGUGUGUUCUGCACUUUAGGUUCAAGUUCAUCGUGCAUCCUCGACGUAGCGCAGCUCCGGCUCCUCCCCUGCUUGCUGCCAGGUCUGUCUCUCCUUCCUCCCCUGCUCACUGUCUUGUACGACAGUGGAUGCGGCUACAUGAUGGAACGAAAGCCGUCCUCCCAGCACCGGCGGUUGUACUACACCCUACAGAAAAGAACAAUCGCUAGUUCAGAAUCAGAAAAAAGAGAAGUUCAAGAAGAACAAAGGGACAACUAUGAUGAUGGCGAUUGAAAAAGGAUUCUGAAAUAAUAUUAUUGAGACUGAAGGCCUUUGAUGCAUGAUGUCGGAGAAUUCCAGGGCUUUUUUCCAAGGCGGCCGAUGGCUUUCGAGAGAUGUGUUCAUAUCUCACAAGUUUCUACGGGUUCAAGUUCAUAUAUAUAAAGAAGAAAUGCCAAUUUUGUUGCACAUAUGUGUGUGAAGGAGGCACUGAAAGUUGAUGUACUUGUUAUUUCUUUUCUUGUAACCCCUACAUACCUGAUUGAGACUAUUCAGUCACAAUUAUUUUUGCUUGCCAUGCCCCGACGCCUCCUCCAUCUCGGUGUCGCGGUCACGAACCAACAUCAAUUUGCUGGUCACUGCU